AAAUGAUCCCAUGCUGCCAAGAAAAGCCUCUAGCGAGCUUCGAGCGGCCCGUACCCCAAACCGACACAGGUGGUCAGGUAGAGAAUACCGAGGCGAUCGGGCGAACUGUGGUUAAGGAACUCGGCAAAUUACCCCCGUAACUUCGGGAGAAGGGGGGCCACAGACUGUCAUACCCCACGCGGGUGGCAGCAGUAGGUGGCCGCAGAGACCAGGGGGAAGCGACUGUUUACUAAAAACACAGGUCCGUGCGAAGUCGUAAGACGAUGUAUACGGACUGACGCCUGCCCGGUGCUGGAACGUUAAGGGGACCGGUUAGUCCGCAAGGGCGAAGCUGAGAACUUAAGCGCCAGUAAACGGCGGUGGUAACUAUAACCAUCCUAAGGUAGCGAAAUUCCUUGUCGGGUAAGUUCCGACCUGCACGAAUGGCGUAACGACUUCCCUACUGUCUCAACCACAGGCCCGGCGAAAUUGCACUACGAGUAAAGAUGCUCGUUACGCGCGGAAGGACGGAAAUACCCCGGGACCUUCACUAUAGCUUGACAUUGGUAUCCGAAUUUAAUUGUGUAGGAUAGGUGGGAGGCUUUGAUCCGCGGACGCCAGUCCGUCGGGGAGCCAACGUUGAAAUACCACUCUGUUGACUUUGGGUAUCUAACUUCGGACCGUGAUCCGGUUCAGGGACAGUGUCUGGUGGGUAGUUUAACUGGGGCGGUUGCCUCCUAAAAUGUAACGGAGGCGCCCAAAGGUUCCCUCAGCCUGGUUGGCAAUCAGGUGUUGAGUGCAAGUGCACAAGGGAGCUUGACUGUGAGACUGACAGGUCGAGCAGGGACGAAAGUCGGGACUAGUGAUCCGGCACCUGCGAGUGGAAGCGGUGUCGCUCAACGGAUAAAAGGUACCCCGGGGAUAACAGGCUGAUCUUCCCCAAGAGUCCAUAUCGACGGGAUGGUUUGGCACCUCGAUGUCGGCUCGUCGCAUCCUGGGGCUGGAGUAGGUCCCAAGGGUUGGGCUGUUCGCCCAUUAAAGCGGCACGCGAGCUGGGUUUAGAACGUCGUGAGACAGUUCGGUCCCUAUCCUCCGCGCGCGUAGGAGACUUGAGAAGAGCUGUCCCUAGUACGAGAGGACCGGGACGGACGAACCUCUGGUGUGCCAGUUGUCAUGCCAAUGGCACGGCUGGUUAGCUACGUUCGGAAGGGAUAACCGCUGAAAGCAUCUAAGCGGGAAGCUCGCUUCAAGAUGAGGUCUCCCACCCCUUAGAGGGUUAAGGCCCCCAGCUAGACCACUGGGUUGAUAGGCCAGAAGUGUAAGCCUGGUAACAGGUUCAGCCGACUGGUACUAAUAGGCCGAGGACUUCACCU
Molecule: ribosomal RNA, 1352 nt
Filed under: metagenome
Description: bacterial LSU rRNA
Rfam family: Bacterial large subunit ribosomal RNA
Source: RNAcentral